GGUGCGGUAGUUCAGAUGGUUAGAAUAUCGGCUUGUCACGCCGGAGGUCGCGGGUUCGAAUCCCGUCCGCACCG
Molecule: transfer RNA, 74 nt
Filed under: Candidatus Blochmanniella floridana
Lineage: Bacteria; Pseudomonadati; Pseudomonadota; Gammaproteobacteria; Enterobacterales; Enterobacteriaceae
Description: Candidatus Blochmannia floridanus tRNA-Asp
Rfam family: tRNA
About the family: Transfer RNA (tRNA) molecules are approximately 80 nucleotides in length. Their secondary structure includes four short double-helical elements and three loops (D, anti-codon, and T loops).
Source: RNAcentral